GACAGAGGUGGCAAGCGUUGUUCGGAAUUACUGGGCUUAAAGGGCACGUAGGCGGCUCGAUAAGUCGGAUGUGAAAUCCCCUGGCUCAACCAGGGAACUGCAUCUGAAACUGCCGAGCUUGAGCGCAGGAGGGGAGAGCGGAACUCCUAGUGGAGCGGUGAAAUGCGUAGAUAUUAGGAGGAACGCCGGUGGCGAAAGCGGCUCUCUGGUCUGCAGCUGACGCUGAGGUGCGAAAGCUAGGGGAGCAAACAGG
RNAcentral lists this ribosomal RNA (253 nucleotides) under uncultured bacterium. Its description in RNAcentral is "partial 16S ribosomal RNA". It matches the Rfam family "Bacterial small subunit ribosomal RNA", at positions 524 to 776 of the family's 1533-position model. The record is from RNAcentral.